GGGGAUAUAGCUCAGUUGGUAGAGUGCUUGCCUCAUAUGCACAAGGCCCUGGGUUUAAUACCCAGCACCA
Molecule: transfer RNA, 70 nt
Filed under: Ictidomys tridecemlineatus (thirteen-lined ground squirrel)
Lineage: Eukaryota; Metazoa; Chordata; Mammalia; Rodentia; Sciuridae
Description: Spermophilus tridecemlineatus (thirteen-lined ground squirrel) tRNA
Rfam family: tRNA
About the family: Transfer RNA (tRNA) molecules are approximately 80 nucleotides in length. Their secondary structure includes four short double-helical elements and three loops (D, anti-codon, and T loops).
Source: Rfam by way of RNAcentral